This 73-nucleotide transfer RNA is filed under the name Phycisphaerae bacterium. RNAcentral describes it as "tRNA-Phe". It matches the Rfam family "tRNA". From Rfam's summary of the family: Transfer RNA (tRNA) molecules are approximately 80 nucleotides in length. Their secondary structure includes four short double-helical elements and three loops (D, anti-codon, and T loops). RNAcentral also lists the same sequence under 2 other names. Lineage: Bacteria; Pseudomonadati; Planctomycetota; Phycisphaerae. The record is from RNAcentral.
GGGCAGGUAGCUCAGUUGGUAGAGCAAUGGACUGAAAAUCCAUGUGUCGCCGGUUCGAUCCCGGCUCUGCCCA